RNAcentral lists this ribosomal RNA (484 nucleotides) under uncultured bacterium. RNAcentral describes it as "partial 16S ribosomal RNA". It matches the Rfam family "Bacterial small subunit ribosomal RNA", at positions 30 to 507 of the family's 1533-position model. The record is from RNAcentral.
AUUGAACGCUGGCGGAAUGCUUUACACAUGCAAGUCGAGCGGCAGCGCGGCCUUCGGGCUGGCGGCGAGCGGCGAACGGGUGAGUAAUGCAUCGGAACAUGCCCAGUCGUGGGGGAUAACACUUCGAAAGAAGUGCUAAUACCGCAUACGUCCUGAGGGGGAAAGCGGGGGAUCGCAAGACCUCGCGCGAUUGGAGUGGCCGAUGUCAGAUUAGCUAGUUGGUGGGGUAAAGGCCUACCAAGGCGACGAUCUGUAGCUGGUCUGAGAGGAUGAUCAGCCACACUGGGACUGAGACACGGCCCAGACUCCUACGGGAGGCAACAGUGGGGAAUUUUGGACAAUGGGGGCAACCCUGAUCCAGCCAUUCCGCGUGAGUGAAGAAGGCCUUCGGGUUGUAAAGCUCUUUCGGCAGGAACGAAACGGUGGGCUCUAACAUAGUCCGCUAAUGACGGUACCUGAAGAAGAAGCACCGGCUAACUACGUG